RNA transcript from Drosophila teissieri, 1837 nucleotides. It is a transcript of the gene named CLIP domain-containing serine protease B9, with no coding region annotated. The record is from RefSeq and is a predicted model, not a curated record. The transcript has 5 exons. Lineage: Eukaryota; Metazoa; Arthropoda; Insecta; Diptera; Drosophilidae.
AGCUCUUACGCAGUUGCAAUGAGUCCGCUUCAGCUGGUGACCGUUCUCCUCCUGGUUUCUCUGAUCAACCUGGCUCUUGGCCAGCUGCCCCGGAAUGGCUGCUCUCCGUGGUUCCAGUACCAGGGCUAUAUGGGGCAGUACAUCGGUUUGGUGAAACUUCGUCAUCCGGUGGCCAAUAACCAGACGCUCAUCCUUCAGUUCUCCCAGGAGGGCUUUCACAAUUUUGACGAAUACGUGGGCAGUAUUUCGCUGGUGGAUGAUGAUUAUGUGACCCAGGAAAAUCUGCGUCAGGGAUUGCCGAUUCGAUACCGUGUUGACUUCCCCAUUCCAACAAUACCGCCCAAGAUAACUAGCAUGCAAUUGAAUGGCGUUGAACUUUGCGGUGGCUUAGAAUAUCCCAAACCAAGAACGGGCAUUACGCUGCGAAUCACUUGGUCGCCGUCCUACACAUUGACUUUUGAAGCUAAUCCCCAACGUGUGCCACCCAGAAGUCAUCCCACUUGGCCCCAAGAGGGAAGUCCACAGAUCGACAACAGUGGCACCAGGCCCAGUCAACCGAGAGUCGAGGAUAACGGAGACAUUUUUGUAGGGAAUAAUGAGUCACUGCCAGCGUUCCAGAAUCCUGGAUGGGGUACUGCCCCUCAGCAGGCGAAUCCGAUUAUAGGUACUAUCCCCCCGCUGAGGAUAACAAAUCCCGCCCCCCCGCGGACGACACCAGAUCCUGGUCGAUCUUCUGCCCCCCAGCAGGCGGUGAGAAGCCCUGUAGAGCUUGUUCCCCAGCAGAACCCUUCCUCCAAUGGGAUUCCCUGCGGGCGGGAGAGAGCUAGUAUCACUCCAUUCAUCUUCCAAGGAGAAAGUCUGCAGCGAGGUCAGCUCCCAUGGCUGGUGGCGAUUUUCGAGCGCCGGGAGAGCAACGGACCCGCCUUCAUCUGUGGAGGAACCCUGAUCUCCACAUCCACCGUACUAUCGGCCGCCCACUGUUUCCGUGCUCCUGGAAGGAACUUGCCCGCCUCUCGACUGGCCGUCUCCUUGGGACGAAACACUCUGGCUAUUCACUCAGAUGGAGAAUUUCGCGGAGUAUCUCAGCUGAUCAUCCACGAAAACUUUCAAAUCAAACAGUUCACGGAGGCCGAUCUGGCGCUGGUCCGAUUGGACGAACCUGUAAGGUACACGGACUACAUAGUACCUAUUUGCCUGUGGAGCACCAGCAACCGCAUGGACUUGCCCCAGGGCCACAAGAGCUAUGUUGCCGGCUGGGGACCAGAUGAGACCGGCACCGGCCACACUGAAGUAUCCAAGAUCACCGACCUAAACAUCGUCAUCGAAUCGAACUGCGUCCAGGAGCUGCCCCAUGUGCUGGUCCAGCCGAGCGCCCUGUGUGCCAAGAAGACGGGAGCAGGACCUUGUGCCAGCGAUGGCGGUGGACCAUUAAUGCUCCGGGAACAGGAAGUUUGGGUGCUGCGGGGAGUGAUCUCUGGAGGUGUGAUCAACGAAAAGGAAAACACCUGUGAGCUCUCCAAGCCAUCCGUAUUCACCGAUGUGGCCAAACACAUAGAAUGGGUUCGCCGCAACAUGUGGAACUAAGCAGAAAAUGAAGUUUGCCAACAAGGAAGGCAUGUCGCCUUCCUGAAGAGAUUUCCUUUAAUGAAUGUACUCCAAAUGACGUAAUCGGAAGAUCCAUGUAUUACUGCCGAUUACUGCGCUAUGGAGUAUACCCACGUCACUAACUUUGAUCGGGUUGGGAGAGCCAACCAGCUUUGUUUUGGAUCGGACUAUUCAGCUAUAUCGGAAACUAAUGCGAUUUGGCUGAGCUAACACCAAUCAUUCAUCGCGCGAC